RNAcentral lists this ribosomal RNA (465 nucleotides) under uncultured bacterium. RNAcentral's name for it is "partial 16S ribosomal RNA". It matches the Rfam family "Bacterial small subunit ribosomal RNA", at positions 28 to 507 of the family's 1533-position model. The record is from RNAcentral.
GACGAACGCUGGCGGCGUGCUUAACACAUGCAAGUCGAACGGAAAGGCCCUGCUUGCAGGGUACUCGAGUGGCGAACGGGUGAGUAACACGUGGGUGAUCUGCCCUGCACUUCGGGAUAAGCCUGGGAAACUGGGUCUAAUACCGGAUAGGAGCCAUUUCUAGUGUGAUGGUUGGAAAGUUUUUUCGGUGUAGGAUGAGCUCGCGGCCUAUCAGCUUGUUGGUGGGGUAAUGGCCUACCAAGGCGGCGACGGGUAGCCGGCCUGAGAGGGUGGACGGCCACAGUGGGACUGAGAUACGGCCCAGACUCCUACGGGAGGCAGCAGUGGGGAAUAUUGCACAAUGGGCGCAAGCCUGAUGCAGCGACGCCGCGUGGGGGAUGACGGCCUUCGGGUUGGAAACUCCUUUCGCUAGGGACGAAGCUUUUUGUGACGGUACCUAGAGAAGAAGCACCGGCUAACUACGUG